Molecule: ribosomal RNA, 433 nt
Filed under: uncultured bacterium
Lineage: Bacteria
Description: partial 16S ribosomal RNA
Rfam family: Bacterial small subunit ribosomal RNA
Source: RNAcentral
AGCGAACGCUGGCGGCAGGCUUAACACAUGCAAGUCGAGCGGGCCCUUCGGGGUCAGCGGCGGACGGGUGAGUAACGCGUGGGAACGUGCCUUCUGGUCUGGAAUAACCCUGGGAAACUAGGGCUAAUACCGGAUACGCCCUUUUGGGGAAAGGUUUACUGCCGGAAGAUCGGCCCGCGUCUGAUUAGCUAGUUGGUGGGGUAACGGCCUACCAAGGCGACGAUCAGUAGCUGGUCUGAGAGGAUGAUCAGCCACACUGGGACUGAGACGCGGCCCAGACUCCUACGGGAGGCAGCAGUGGGGAAUAUUGGACAAUGGGCGCAAGCCUGAUCCAGCCAUGCCGCGUGAGUGAUGAAGGCCUUAGGGUUGUAAAGCUCUUUUAUCCGGGACGAUAAUGACGGUACCGGAGGAAUAAGCCCCGGCUAACUUCGUG